This 218-nucleotide unclassified non-coding RNA is filed under the name Hevea brasiliensis (rubber tree). Lineage: Eukaryota; Viridiplantae; Streptophyta; Magnoliopsida; Malpighiales; Euphorbiaceae. The record is from RNAcentral.
AUUAAUUCUUCUUCCUAUCAAGAAUUUUCCAAAAUUGUUUUGAAAUUUUUCUUAAAUUUUCAGAUAUAUAUUUUUUAGAUUUUAAUAGGUAAAAUUUUGAUUUCUUAAAAUAAAAUAAGUUAUUGGGCCGGAAAAACAAAGAUCCAAUCAAGUUAGGUUUACGAGUUGUGACUCGACCAGUGAGAUCUCUCCCUUUAGCUUCGAUCUUAGUGUUUCUA